Molecule: ribosomal RNA, 1372 nt
Filed under: uncultured bacterium
Lineage: Bacteria
Description: bacterial SSU rRNA
Rfam family: Bacterial small subunit ribosomal RNA
Source: RNAcentral
GAUGAACGCUGGCGGCGUGCCUAAUACAUGCAAGUCGAGCGAACGGACGAGAAGCUUGCUUCUCUGAUGUUAGCGGCGGACGGGUGAGUAACACGUGGAUAACCUACCUAUAAGACUGGGAUAACUUCGGGAAACCGGAGCUAAUACCGGAUAAUAUUUUGAACCGCAUGGUUCAAAAGUGAAAGACGGUCUUGCUGUCACUUAUAGAUGGAUCCGCGCUGCAUUAGCUAGUUGGUAAGGUAACGGCUUACCAAGGCAACGAUGCAUAGCCGACCUGAGAGGGUGAUCGGCCACACUGGAACUGAGACACGGUCCAGACUCCUACGGGAGGCAGCAGUAGGGAAUCUUCCGCAAUGGGCGAAAGCCUGACGGAGCAACGCCGCGUGAGUGAUGAAGGUCUUCGGAUCGUAAAACUCUGUUAUUAGGGAAGAACAUAUGUGUAAGUAACUGUGCACAUCUUGACGGUACCUAAUCAGAAAGCCACGGCUAACUACGUGCCAGCAGCCGCGGUAAUACGUAGGUGGCAAGCGUUAUCCGGAAUUAUUGGGCGUAAAGCGCGCGUAGGCGGUUUUUUAAGUCUGAUGUGAAAGCCCACGGCUCAACCGUGGAGGGUCAUUGGAAACUGGAAAACUUGAGUGCAGAAGAGGAAAGUGGAAUUCCAUGUGUAGCGGUGAAAUGCGCAGAGAUAUGGAGGAACACCAGUGGCGAAGGCGACUUUCUGGUCUGUAACUGACGCUGAUGUGCGAAAGCGUGGGGAUCAAACAGGAUUAGAUACCCUGGUAGUCCACGCCGUAAACGAUGAGUGCUAAGUGUUAGGGGGUUUCCGCCCCUUAGUGCUGCAGCUAACGCAUUAAGCACUCCGCCUGGGGAGUACGACCGCAAGGUUGAAACUCAAAGGAAUUGACGGGGACCCGCACAAGCGGUGGAGCAUGUGGUUUAAUUCGAAGCAACGCGAAGAACCUUACCAAAUCUUGACAUCCUUUGACAACUCUAGAGAUAGAGCCUUCCCCUUCGGGGGACAAAGUGACAGGUGGUGCAUGGUUGUCGUCAGCUCGUGUCGUGAGAUGUUGGGUUAAGUCCCGCAACGAGCGCAACCCUUAAGCUUAGUUGCCAUCAUUAAGUUGGGCACUCUAAGUUGACUGCCGGUGUCAAACCGGAGGAAGGUGGGGAUGACGUCAAAUCAUCAUGCCCCUUAUGAUUUGGGCUACACACGUGCUACAAUGGACAAUACAAAGGGCAGCGAAACCGCGAGGUCAAGCAAAUCCCAUAAAGUUGUUCUCAGUUCGGAUUGUAGUCUGCAACUCGACUACAUGAAGCUGGAAUCGCUAGUAAUCGUAGAUCAGCAUGCUACGGUGAAUACGUUCCCGGGUCU